RNAcentral lists this long non-coding RNA (1037 nucleotides) under Rhinopithecus roxellana (golden snub-nosed monkey). RNAcentral's name for it is "lncRNA (ENSRROG00000045837.1)". Lineage: Eukaryota; Metazoa; Chordata; Mammalia; Primates; Cercopithecidae. The record is from RNAcentral.
GUGAAUCAAAUUAUCAUCAGCCAACCUCAAGAAGUUCCUGCUCCACUGUUGAAGGCUCUAGAGAAAGAUGCCAAGAAUCUUCAGAAGUCUCUCAGUUCUGUGAGUGGCACUUGGAAUUCCAGGUUACUCCACUUCCAGAAUGCUGUGGAAAUAGAAAAGGUAGCAUUUUGCUUUUAUUCAUAAAAGCUCACAAAGUCUGGGUGGCUGGGAGAUUUUCAUAAUGUGAUUUGCCAUUUAUUUCUUAAAGUGUUAAAUCAGCACACACAGCUAGAAGGCAGACUUCAAGAUCUGAGAGCCUGGGUUGUCAAUACCAUUCUUAUUCUGAACAGCAAGGCAUCUAACAGUGAAACAGAUGUUGACAGCCUGAACCGCUGUCUCCGACAAUAUGAGCCCAUGGCUGAAAGGAAAUCUCAGCUGGAUGCUCUUGCUUUUGAUGUUCAGUUCUUUAUCUCGGAACAUGCCCAGGACUUGUCCCCUCAGCAGAAUCGACAGAUGCUGAGGCUUCUGAAUGAACUGCAGAGGUCCUUCCAGGAAAUUUUGGAACAGACUGCAGCUCAGGUGGAUGCCUUGCAGGGCCAUCUUCAACAGAUGGAGCAGGAGGCCCUGGUGAAGACCCUGCAGAAACAACAAAAUACCUGUCACCAGCAACUGGAGGAUCUUUGCAGUUGGGUAGGACAGGCAGAAAGAGCACUGGCAGGCCACCAAGGCAGAACCACCCGGCAGGAUCUCUCUGCUUUGCAGAAGAACCAAAGUGACUUGAAGGAUGACAUUCAGAAUCAUGCCACCUCAUUUGCCGUUGUUGUCAAGGACAUUGAGGGGUUCAUGGAAGAGAAUCAGACCAAGAUGAGCCCACAUGAGUUGACAGCUCUUCGGGAAAAGCUUCAUCAGGCUAAGGAGCAAUAUGAGGCGCUCUGGGAACAGACACGGGUGGCCCAGAAGGAGCUGGAGGAAGCAGUGACCUCUGCCUUACAGCAGAAGACUGAAAAGGUAAUAAACUGCUAUGACACUUGAUGGUUUUCAAAAAAGAAUUUUGGUAC